This 492-nucleotide ribosomal RNA is filed under the name uncultured bacterium. RNAcentral describes it as "partial 16S ribosomal RNA". It matches the Rfam family "Bacterial small subunit ribosomal RNA", at positions 29 to 507 of the family's 1533-position model. The record is from RNAcentral.
AGUGAACGCUGGCGGUAGGCCUAACACAUGCAAGUCGAACGGCAGCACAGUAAGAGCUUGCUCUUACGGGUGGCGAGUGGCGGAUGGGUGAGGAAUACAUCGGAAUCUACUUUUUCGUGGGGGAUAACGUAGGGAAACUUACGCUAAUACCGCAUACGACCUACGGGUGAAAGCAGGGGAUCUUCGCACCUUGCGCGAUUGAUUGAGCCGAUGUCGGAUUAGCUAGUUGGCGGGGUAAAGGCCCACCAAGGCGACGAUCCGUAGCUGGUCUGAGAGGAUGAUCAGCCACACUGGAACUGAGACACGGUCCAGACUCCUACGGGAGGCAGCAGUGGGGAAUAUUGGACAAUGGGCGCAAGCCUGAUCCAGCCAUACCGCGUGGGUGAAGAAGGCCUUCGGGUUGUAAAGCCCUUUUAUUAGGAAAGAAAAGCAGCGGGUUAAUACCCCGCUGUUCUGACGGUACCCAAAGAAUAAGCACCGGCUAACUUCGUG